This 139-nucleotide ribosomal RNA is filed under the name uncultured eukaryote. RNAcentral's name for it is "partial 18S ribosomal RNA". It matches the Rfam family "Eukaryotic small subunit ribosomal RNA", at positions 1299 to 1458 of the family's 1831-position model. The record is from RNAcentral.
UGGUGGGGUGACCCGUCUGGUUAAUUUCGAUAACGAACGAGAUCCGAGUUAUUUAGUUGGCCAACGCUGUCAUUUCACAGAAUUGCGUCUCCUAUAUAGACUGUCAGUUGUAGGCUGAAGGAAGUUUCGGGCUAAAUCA